This 207-nucleotide ribosomal RNA is filed under the name uncultured bacterium. RNAcentral's name for it is "partial 16S ribosomal RNA". It matches the Rfam family "Bacterial small subunit ribosomal RNA", at positions 568 to 774 of the family's 1533-position model. The record is from RNAcentral.
CUCGUAGGCGGUUUGUCGCGUCUGCCGUGAAAGUCCGGGGCUCAACUCCGGAUCUGCGGUGGGUACGGGCAGACUAGAGUGAUGUAGGGGAGACUGGAAUUCCUAGUGUAGCGGUGAAAUGCGCAGAUAUCAGGAGGAACACCGAUGGCGAAGGCAGGUCUCUGGGCAUUAACUGACGCUGAGGAGCGAAAGCAUGGGGAGCGAACA